CUUUGACUCACUGGUUGUUUAGGAGUGUGUCAUUUCCACAUAUUUUUGACUUUCCCAAAUUUCCUUCACUGUUGAUGUCCAGUUUCACGCCAGUACAGCUGAAGAACACUCCUGCUUUGGUCUCAGUCCUUUUCCAUUCACUGAGGCUCAUUGUGUGGCCUGGCACGUGGCCUGUCUUGGGGAGUGUCCCGUGGGCGCUUGAGAGGACUGUGUAUUCUGCCGUUGUUGGGUGGCGUGUGUGAUAGAUGUCUACUCGGCGUACCUGGUUUCUGGUGUUCAUCUCCGGAAUGUUGCUGACACUAGAAAAUCAGCAGCUUUCCACCGUUCCCAGCGCCUUGGCUUUGGGAGAGGCCCGUGAGCCUGUGGGUUUGGAGCCUGGCUGCACGGGAGGAGCAUGUGUGGGAACGCCAGGGGCCGGCUUUGAACCCCAUUCCCCCAACAUGAUGCCGUGUGUGGCAGACGUGACAUUUGGCUUUGCACCCCCAGGGUUUCAUCUGCGACAGGGGCUACUUGUGUCCCUGGCCUCGUCAGCUCGGGCUGAAGGCGGCCCUGGUCCUGGCCAGAGGGGCUUUGUGAAGCAGAAAUAGAUGGCCUGGUGCAGGGGCCGAGCUUGGCUAGGGCCUCAGCCCUGGGGGUUGUAAAGAAGGCCGGCCUCUACCAUGGGCAUCUGCACCAAGCUGUGCCCAUGUCACGGUGUGCUCAGCGGUUCCCCGCCUGUGGGGCCCAGGCUCACAGAGGUGUGAAAGAGGCAAGCACACCGCAGGGGCCUCUGAGCCCAGCCAGCCUCGCUUCGAUGCUGGGAGGCUGACCUCUUUUGUCUUCUGCCCAGGCCAGCUGCGGGCCGUCCAGCGGCUGUGCCACUUCUACAGCGCCGUCAUGCCCAGCGAGGCCCAGUGUGUCAUCUACCAUGAGCUCCAGCUCUCCCUGGCCUGCAAGGUGGCCGACAAGGUGCUGGAGGGGCAGCUCCUGGAGACCAUCAGUCAGCUCUACCUGUCCCUGGGCACCGAGCGGGCCUACAAAUCCGCACUGGACUACACCAAACGAAGUCUGGGGAUUUUCAUUGACCUCCAGAAGAAAGAGAAGGAGGCGCAUGCCUGGCUGCAAGCAGGGAAGAUCUAUUACAUCUUGCGGCAGAGCGAGCUGGUGGACCUCUACAUCCAGGUGGCACAGAAUGUGGCCCUGUACACAGGCGACCCCAACCUGGGGCUGGAACUGUUUGAGGCAGCUGGAGACAUCUUCUUCGACGGGGCCUGGGAGCGGGAGAAAGCUGUGUCCUUCUACCGGGUGAGCUGGCCUGUGGGCUGAUGUGGGUGGGCCCCAGGGGGGCACCUUGAGGGCUGAGGCACAGGUGUGGCAGGGCCGCCCAUGCACAUGCUUAGUUUCCUAGUGGUUUCACCGGGAAUGAUAUUGACUGUGCCCCCCGCCCGGGACAAACACUUGGGGCCUGGACACAGCAAUGGCCUUACCCUUGCACCCGAUGAUCUCAAGAAACCUUGAGUGGGAAGUCCUGUCCCCAUCUUACAGAUGAGGAAACUGAGGAUCAGAGAGGCACAGGGACAUGUCAAAGGACACAAAGCAUGCCAGUGGGAGGGCCAGGGCCCAGGUCUGCAUGCACCCUGAAGCAGGGACAGCUUCUCCCUUCCUCUGAGCUCACAGUGUGGCUCAGCCCUGGGCACAGAUAAAUGUGGUGUUUUUAGAGCAGAGAGGAGUGCUGGCUCCCCCCAGUCAGACCCCUGGUGCCCAGGCGGGAGGGGCUGGUCUGAGGCUGCCGGGUGUAGCUGGAUGGGCCUCAGGUGACUCUUCAGCCCCUAGCUUGGGUGUCUGAACCGCCCUUUAACUCAGAGCACAGAGCUAUGUGGAGGCCCAGGGGUAGCUGGGGCGUGGGAAGCUCCGAGCAUAUGUUUGAGCUCUGAGGAGGGCACUGGGCAAGGUGGGUGCUGUGGGAAGCCUGACCCCACCUGCCUGUGUGGCAGGACCGGGCCCUGCCCCUGGCAGUGACUACAGGCAACCGCAAGGCGGAGCUGCGGCUGUGCAACAAGCUGGUGGCACUGCUGGCCACGCUGGAGGAGCCCCAGGAGGGCUUGGAGUUUGCCCACAUGGCCCUAGCACUCAGCAUCACCCUGGGUAAGCCCCCUGAGCCCCUGCCUGGCCAGGACCCACACUUUGCCAGAGCUCAGCCUCCAGGUCUGCAGGGCAGGAGCCGAAACAGCUGCCGGAUUUUCCUGGUUUCCUGUCCAGGCAGGCACAUCUGCCCAGCUGGCUCCCCCGUCCGGCUGUGGGGCACAGCCCGAGGUUCCUCACGCAGUGCAGAGCUCCCUGCCUGGCUGAGCUCUGCUUCCUGUGCCUCUUCCCCCUGCUGACCACGAGGGCUGCCCAGUGUGCCUUCUGCCUUCCAGACAUGCCAGACAUCUCGUUGGUCCCUGCAUGUGCCAGGCUGAGUGGCACAUUCCCUUUCUCUUGUGCCCUUCCCACCCUCAUCAACCACACGGCUCUCUGGCUGAUGAAAUCCCAGUUCCCCUUCCAGCAGCCUGCCCCUUAAUGCCAGGCAUCCCCCGGUGCUGUGCCAGGGUCGUCUGUCCUCUAGAGAGAGGGAGCCCCAGACAGGCCACAUGCCCCAGCGCCUUGUGCCCCAGGGCCUGGUACACAGGUGUGCAGCCGCGUGGGAAUGCAUUGAAUGCAGGCUCCACAGCACUUACCCUGAAAAGGGGAGGACACUGGAGACAGCCUGGGUGGGCUCGCGCAUCUGUGGGGGGACCUGGAGCUCAGGCACACAGUGACUCCCCAAGGUAGGGGACUCUGAUGAUGACACACCCAGGAAGAGUUGGAUGUCACGUCUGUGGGUUGCCUGGAGCCCUGGUGCCCAGGAGCGCGUGGGCUGCAUGCCUUUUGGGCUCUUCUGGUUAAAAACAGUGAGCAAAGGCAGGUGGCUAUAUGUAGGCACACAGCUGGGCCAUCCAAGUCCGACUUUGCCAAAGCCUCACGGUAGAUGGGGGCAGGCCUUAUUAGUUCUGCUUUGUAGAUGGGAAAGUGAGUCUGGGAGCUGGGAAGGGACUGGCCAGAACUGCCCAGGUGACCGCAGUGCCUGGAGGCGAGCAAGGUGCUGCCGGGGUCUGCAUGCCUGCUCCUGAGGGGCCUGUGCCCUGCCUGCCCCAGGGAGCCACGUUCUCACACCUGCCCCCUUGGCCUGCACCCCAGGGGACCGGCUGAACGAGCGCGUGGCCUACCACCGGCUGGCCGCCCUGCAACACCGACUGGGCCAUGGCGAGCUGGCAGAGCACUUCUACCUCAAGGCCCUGUCGCUCUGCAACUCGCCGCUGGAGUUUGAUGAGGAGACCCUCUACUACGUGAAGGUGUACCUGGUGCUCGGUGACAUCAUCUUCUAUGACCUGAAGGACCCGUUUGAUGCAGCCGGGUACUACCAGCUGGCGCUGGCGGCCGCCGUGGACCUGGGCAACAAGAAGGCACAGCUGAAGAUCUACACGCGGCUGGCCACCAUCUACCACAACUUCCUCCUGGACCGUGAGAAGUCGCUCUUCUUCUACCAGAAGGCCAGGACCUUCGCCACAGAGCUCAACGUCCGCAGGGUCAACCUGCCUCCUCUGCCACUCUGCGGGUGGGCCCCCUGGUUGGCCCCCAGCCACCCUCGCUGAGGACAGCGUCCAAGGGAGUGGGUUUUGUGCAAGGGGUGGGGGUCUCCUGCCUCUCCUGGUGUCGCCGGUGGCUCAUUUUCUGGCAAAUGGAGGCACGAACGCAGGGGCCAAAUAGCAAUAAAUGGGUUUUGUUUUUUU
Molecule: small RNA, 3788 nt
Filed under: Pan troglodytes (chimpanzee)
Lineage: Eukaryota; Metazoa; Chordata; Mammalia; Primates; Hominidae
Description: retained intron
Source: RNAcentral